Molecule: ribosomal RNA, 465 nt
Filed under: Vreelandella stevensii
Lineage: Bacteria; Pseudomonadati; Pseudomonadota; Gammaproteobacteria; Oceanospirillales; Halomonadaceae
Description: partial 16S ribosomal RNA
Rfam family: Bacterial small subunit ribosomal RNA
Source: RNAcentral
CCUACGGGGGGCAGCAGUGGGGAAUAUUGGACAAUGGGGGCAACCCUGAUCCAGCCAUGCCGCGUGUGUGAAGAAGGCCCUCGGGUUGUAAAGCACUUUCAGUGAGGAAGAACGCCUGGUGGUUAAUACCCAUCAGGAAAGACAUCACUCACAGAAGAAGCACCGGCUAACUCCGUGCCAGCAGCCGCGGUGAUACGGAGGGUGCGAGCGUUAAUCGGAAUUACUGGGCGUAAAGCGCGCGUAGGUGGCUUGAUAAGCCGGUUGUGAAAGCCCCGGGCUCAACCUGGGAACGGCAUCCGGAACUGUCAAGCUAGAGUGCAGGAGAGGAAGGUAGAAUUCCCGGUGUAGCGGUGAAAUGCGUAGAGAUCGGGAGGAAUACCAGUGGCGAAGGCGGCCUUCUGGACUGACACUGACACUGAGGUGCGAAAGCGUGGGUAGCAAACAGGAUUAGAUACCCGUGUAGUC